AGCAAUGCAAAUGAGCAAAUAGCGAACUAAUUUUUCGCCUUUUACUAAAGAAUACCGUGUGCUCUUUGUAUAACAUGGCCUACGCCAGUUUUUGUAGACUUCCUUUUUUCUUGAAUGACU
Helianthus annuus (common sunflower) is the source of this 120-nucleotide non-coding RNA. NCBI's taxonomy places the organism in Eukaryota, Viridiplantae, Streptophyta, Magnoliopsida, Asterales, Asteraceae. The record is from Rfam.